AUACGGAGGGGGCUAGCGUUGUUCGGAAUUACUGGGCGUAAAGCGCGCGUAGGCGGAUUAAAAAGUUAGAGGUGAAAUCCCAGGGCUUAACCCUGGAACUGCCUUUAAAACUAGUAGUCUAGAGUUCGAGAGAGGUGAGUGGAAUUCCAAGUGUAGAGGUGAAAUUCGUAGAUAUUUGGAGGAACACCAGUGGCGAAGGCGGCUCACUGGCUCGAUACUGACGCUGAGGUGCGAAAGCGUGGGGAGCAAACAGGAUUAGAAACCCCAGUAGUCC
This 274-nucleotide ribosomal RNA is filed under the name uncultured bacterium. Its description in RNAcentral is "partial 16S ribosomal RNA". It matches the Rfam family "Bacterial small subunit ribosomal RNA", at positions 523 to 796 of the family's 1533-position model. The record is from RNAcentral.